This 77-nucleotide microRNA precursor is filed under the name Ovis aries (sheep). RNAcentral describes it as "miRNA (ENSOARG00000022149.1)". The record is from RNAcentral. Lineage: Eukaryota; Metazoa; Chordata; Mammalia; Artiodactyla; Bovidae.
UCCCCUCCUGGUGCUGUCAUCCUGCUCAGUGCAUCUGUGUCUCUUCACUAGAUUGUCAGCUCCUCGAGGGGAGGGAC